Long non-coding RNA from Meriones unguiculatus (Mongolian gerbil), 605 nucleotides. RefSeq lists it as uncharacterized. The transcript has 3 exons. The record is from RefSeq and is a predicted model, not a curated record. NCBI's taxonomy places the organism in Eukaryota, Metazoa, Chordata, Mammalia, Rodentia, Muridae.
GCUAACCGCCUGGCCAACCCAUAGCACAUAGUAGCUGGGAAUGAACCUCAGAUCUAGGGGACAAGAGACCAGCUGCUAAAGUCUUCUUCAAAGGACACAACUACCCCUGUCAUGAAAGGUGAAGCCGCUGUCCCUGGCAUGGAUAAAGUGACCCUCGGAAAAGAUGGAGACUAAAUAGAAAAUGAUGCGAGAAAUGGCUCAGCAGAUGAAGGUGCUUCCAAGUCUGAAUACCUGGCUUGAGUUCCCUGAACCCACAGCAUGGAGGGACAGAAGCGAUUGGCCGUCAUCCCAUGCACACACAGCAGUGCCCGUGCAUACACAAACAUACACGCAAAUAACUAAACAUAGAGGGGAAAAAAGACCAAUAAAGCGUGGUCUUAGCAGAUCACCUACCAAAAGCUAAGGCAUCAGAUAAUAUGUAAACCCGUUGGUUUUCUCUGCUUUGCAGCAAUCAGUCUCCUGUGACCUCAUGAAUGUAUUAGGUAAAUGCAGAGAUUAGUGACUUUCGUUUUCUUCUUCCUAAAACUAAUUAAGCCUCGUGUAAAACCGUCCAGCGUAGUUGAUGACAUUUCGGGCAAGCUGGAUGUGUGUUCCCUAGCCACGGU